AGUGAACGCUGGCGGCAGGCCUAACACAUGCAAGUCGAGCGGAUGAAGGGAGCUUGCUCCUGGAUUCAGCGGCGGACGGGUGAGUAAUGCCUAGGAAUCUGCGUGGUAGUGGGGGAUAACGUCCGGAAACGGGCGCUAAUACCCCAUACGUCCUGAGGGAGAAAGUGGGGAAUCUUCGGACCUUACGCUAUCAGAUGAUCCUAUGUCGGAUUAGCUGGUUGGUGGGGUAAAGGCCUACCAAGGCGACGAUCCGUAACUGGUCUGAGAGGAUGAUCAGUCACACUGGAACUGAGACACGGUCCAGACUCCUACGGGAGGCAGCAGUGGGGAAUAUUGGACAAUGGGCGAAAGCCUGAUCCAGCCAUGCCGCGUGUGUGAAGAAGGUCUUCGGAUUGUAAAGCACUUUAAGUUGGGAAGAAGGGCAGUAAGUUAAUACCUUGCUGUUUUGACGUUACCAACAGAAUAAGCACCGGCUAACUUCGUG
Molecule: ribosomal RNA, 484 nt
Filed under: uncultured bacterium
Lineage: Bacteria
Description: partial 16S ribosomal RNA
Rfam family: Bacterial small subunit ribosomal RNA
Source: RNAcentral